GACGAACGCUGGCGGCGUGCUUAACACAUGCAAGUCGAACGGAAAGGCCCUGCUUUUGUGGGGUGCUCGAGUGGCGAACGGGUGAGUAACACGUGAGUAACCUGCCCUUGACUUUGGGAUAACUUCAGGAAACUGGGGCUAAUACCGGAUAGGAGCUCCUGCUGCAUGGUGGGGGUUGGAAAGUUUCGGCGGUUGGGGAUGGACUCGCGGCUUAUCAGCCUGUUGGUGGGGUAGUGGCUUACCAAGGCUUUGACGGGUAGCCGGCCUGAGAGGGUGACCGGCCACAUUGGGACUGGGAUACGGCCCAGACUCCUACGGGAGGCAGCAGUGGGGAAUAGUGCACGAUAGGCGGAAGCCUGAUGCAGCAACGCCGCGUGCGGGAUGACGGCCUUCGGGUUGUAAACCGCUUUCGCCUGUGACGAAGCGUGAGUGACGGUAAUGGGUAAAGAAGCACCGGCUAACUACGUG
This 468-nucleotide ribosomal RNA is filed under the name uncultured bacterium. Its description in RNAcentral is "partial 16S ribosomal RNA". It matches the Rfam family "Bacterial small subunit ribosomal RNA", at positions 28 to 507 of the family's 1533-position model. The record is from RNAcentral.